UGAUGUCCCUUUAUACCACAGGCUGGACAGUCCAUGUCCUUACAACAGCAGGUAGAAGUCUGAUGUCCCUUUAUACCACAGGCUGGACAGUCCAUGUCCUUACAACAGGCUGGACAGUCCAUGUCCUUACAACAGGCUGGACAGUCCAUGUCCUUACAACAGCAGGUAGAAGUCUGAUGUCCCUUUAUACCACAGGCUGGACAGUCCAUGUCCUUACAACAGCAUGUAGAAGUCUGAUGUCCCUUUAUACCACAGGCUGGACAGUCCAUGUCCUUACAACAGCAGGUAGAAGUCUGAUGUCCCUUUAUAUCACAGGCUGGACAGUCCAUGUCCUUACCACAGGCUGGACAGUCCAUGUCCUUACACCAGCAUGUAGAAGUCUGAUGUCCCUUUAUACCACAGGCUGGACAGUCCAUGUCCUUACAACAGGCUGGACAGUCCAUGUCCUUACAACAGGCUGGACAGUCCAUGUCCUUACAACAGGUUGGACAGUCCAUGUCCUUACACCAGCAGGUAGACUGGAUAUUAUCCCCCUAUGUCUUAUUACCUGUUCUGUCUGGAUGUAACAGGCUGACUAGUAAAUUACAUGUCUUUGGCCCCAUUACACUAAAAACUUGUCCUCAACCAUGUAAUUUACAAUUACAAAAUAUUCAAACCGUUCUGAAUAUGAGCUCCACUGCUCAAUGGUUCCAUCAA
Oncorhynchus tshawytscha (Chinook salmon) is the source of this 696-nucleotide long non-coding RNA. The record is from Ensembl. NCBI's taxonomy places the organism in Eukaryota, Metazoa, Chordata, Actinopteri, Salmoniformes, Salmonidae.